RNAcentral lists this ribosomal RNA (464 nucleotides) under Vreelandella stevensii. RNAcentral describes it as "partial 16S ribosomal RNA". It matches the Rfam family "Bacterial small subunit ribosomal RNA", at positions 338 to 794 of the family's 1533-position model. Lineage: Bacteria; Pseudomonadati; Pseudomonadota; Gammaproteobacteria; Oceanospirillales; Halomonadaceae. The record is from RNAcentral.
CCUACGGGUGGCAGCAGUGGGGAAUAUUGGACAAUGGGCGAAAGCCUGAUCCAGCCAUGCCGCGUGUGUGAAGAAGGCCUUCGGGUUGUAAAGCACUUUCAGUGGGGAAGAAAGCCUUGGGGCUAAUACCCUCGAGGAAGGACAUCACCCACAGAAGAAGCACCGGCUAACUCCGUGCCAGCAGCCGCGGUAAUACGGAGGGUGCGAGCGUUAAUCGGAAUUACUGGGCGUAAAGCGCGCGUAGGCGGUCUGAUAAGCCGGUUGUGAAAGCCCCGGGCUCAACCUGGGAACGGCAUCCGGAACUGUCAGGCUAGAGUGCAGGAGAGGAAGGUAGAAUUCCCGGUGUAGCGGUGAAAGGCGUAGAGAUCGGGAGGAAUACCAGUGGCGAAGGCGGCCUUCUGGACUGACACUGACGCUGAGGUGCGAAAGCGUGGGUAGCAAACAGGAUUAGAUACCCGUGUAGU